GUUUUCCUUGGCUUUAUCCUGUGCUUAAUCACCUUACUAGAAUUUUCUGUCCACUUGAUUGUUGACUCUCCAGAGAGACAUUGAUCUAUGUGAGCGUUCAAGGUGGUGUUUGAUGAGGAUGUGAAAGUCUUGCAAACUGGACAUACUUUCGAAGCCAUUGCCUCAGAAGCCAUGAAAUUGCUGCUGGUGGUAGUUUCCUCUUCUACGGAUUGAGGAUGUGAAAGUCUUGCAAACUGGACAUACUUUCGAAGCCAUUGCCUCAGAAGCCAUGAAAUUGUUGCUGGUGGUAGUUUCCUCUUCUACGGUUCGAUGAUCUGUAACGUUUCCCAACUUGACUAUUAAUCUGCA
This 348-nucleotide long non-coding RNA is filed under the name Nicotiana benthamiana. RNAcentral's name for it is "long non-coding RNA (NBEN_LNC009690)". The record is from RNAcentral. Lineage: Eukaryota; Viridiplantae; Streptophyta; Magnoliopsida; Solanales; Solanaceae.